This 292-nucleotide ribosomal RNA is filed under the name uncultured bacterium. RNAcentral's name for it is "partial 16S ribosomal RNA". It matches the Rfam family "Bacterial small subunit ribosomal RNA", at positions 505 to 796 of the family's 1533-position model. The record is from RNAcentral.
GUGCCAGCAGCCGCGGUAAUACGUAGGGGGCCAGCGUUGUCCGGAAUCAUUGGGCGUAAAGCGCGCGUAGGCGGUCAGGUAAGUCCGGUGUGAAAGUCAAAGGCUCAACCUUUGAAUGCCGCUGGAAACUGCCUGACUUGAGUCCGGUAGGGGCGAGUGGAAUUCCUGGUGUAGCGGUGAAAUGCGCAGAUAUCAGGAGGAACACCAAUGGCGAAGGCAGCUCGCUGGAACGGUACUGACGCUGAGGCGCGAAAGCGUGGGGAGCGAACAGGAUUAGAUACCCUGGUAGUCC